Molecule: long non-coding RNA, 1639 nt
Organism: Rattus norvegicus (Norway rat)
Lineage: Eukaryota; Metazoa; Chordata; Mammalia; Rodentia; Muridae
Source: Ensembl
AGGAGUGAGAGGGGGAUUAGAAUCAAAGAAUAGGGUGAGAGAAGACAGUUGUUGACAGUUGAGCCAGUAGAACCUGAGGAAGGGGGAGGGGAUUAAACGGGGGAGGGAGAGUUGGGAGAGGAGUAAGGAAGAGAGGUGAAAAAGGGACUGUUUAGCACACGAUGGGGAACUGAGAAAAGUAAGAGGAAUCAGGGGAGGAGAAAGAGAAGAAGCGAGGAGAGAGUCGUCGUGGCAGAAGAAGAAGCUGGAGACUUGGAAUAUAAAAGAGGACCAGUAGAGGACUGACUGCAGCAUAACUAUGGCCUACAAGAAUCUGGACACAAUACAGAGAUGGAUUCCCCUGGAAUAUAGUUCUGGAGUAUGAGAUGAUACUGUCAAAAGUGGACAUCACCAGGAAGAAGCUCAUAAACAUUAGAAUGCUCAGGAGGGCUCUUUGCUCUGGAGUUGCUUUUGGAGAAAGUUUUGGAUUCUGCAGUCACUGGGACUGAGUCUUAUGCCUGCACAAGAGAGUCACCAUGUAGUAAGUUGAGAGGUCCAUGAGACCAAUAAGAAAUACAUUCCUGAAAGCCAGCAGUGUGGAGAAGGUACACUGCAUUGAGGAACUCAUGGGUAGAAAAGAGCAAGAUUUCAUGAUGUAUAUAAGAUUAACCAGGUAAGAUUUCGUGUGGCAAUAGGUGCUAUUAAAAUAUGGCUGCUGAUGGAUGUAUAGAAGAUGCUCAAUAAAAUAAAGAAAGAUGAGAGCUGAUGUGGGGAAUUGGGUUUGAACUUUGCUAAGUGAGAGGUUUGAGGGCAGAGGAUGAUUGCCUGGAAGACACUCAACAGACAGGUGGUACAAACAGAGAGGCUCCUGAAAAACCUGUGCAAGAAAAUAAAUAGUUUACACGUAAUGUCAUCCCAUCCUCCUGAAGACAUAAAAAAGUCUUCAGUUAUAUAUGCUGCAACUAACAGCAUCACUAUGUGUAUAAGGGCCACAAGGCCAAUGGGCAAUUCAGUGAGUUUAGGCCUGUGCUCAUGAAUGAAGAUGAAGGUGUGGAAGAGAAGAAGGCACCUGUUGGCUGAGAUCCUGAUGCCUAUCUCAGAGAAGAAAGCAUUUCUGAUGUAAGUUCUACAGUACAGUUAUUGUCUUUAUUCAUAUUAUGCUGUGUAGAAGCACAUAGUAGCUGCCUGAAAACAAAGCAAAAACUCCUUUGUUACAUAUUGUCUUCUACAUCCUGAAUGUGCAGAGAUGCAUCCCAGUUUAUCCACUACCAUCUAGAAAUUCAGCUCUCUCUCACACCAUCCAGAAUCCUUCCCUACUCUCACACAUUUUUUAACCCUCCCCAACAGUGGAUAGCUUAAGUGUUCCAUUUUGAACCUAUAUUGGGGUGUAAGUUUUACUCUAAAAUAAAAUUCCAUACACUAUAGAAAAUAUUUUUCCUAUUACUUCUUAUAUCCAUUCCAGUUGGUGAUGUGUGACAUGGUUUGACUUGUAUCAUCUUUGUUGUCAAUCAUGUGUUUAGAUUUGUGUUUUCAGUGAACCUGAAGGGGGACGAUGUCCAAAAAUGCAAUGAGGCUUUUCCCAAAAAAGAGUGCCCAUGAUUUGACACUCACAGAGUUAUUUCAUUUAGUCAUUCCCUUUACCUUUCCAUUUUUGACAGAC